GGAACAACAGUUGGAAACGGCUGCUAAUACCUCAUACUCCUAUUUGACAUAAGUUAAAUAGGGAAAGUCUUUUCGGUGUAGGAUGAGACUAUAUCGUAUCAGCUAGUUGGUAAGGUAAUGGCUUACCAAGGCUAUGACGCGUAACUGGUCUGAGAGGAUGAUCAGUCACAUUGGAACUGAGACACGGUCCAA
RNAcentral lists this ribosomal RNA (192 nucleotides) under uncultured Campylobacterales bacterium. RNAcentral describes it as "partial 16S ribosomal RNA". It matches the Rfam family "Bacterial small subunit ribosomal RNA", at positions 140 to 334 of the family's 1533-position model. The record is from RNAcentral. Lineage: Bacteria; Pseudomonadati; Campylobacterota; Epsilonproteobacteria; Campylobacterales.